Molecule: transfer RNA, 72 nt
Filed under: Ovis aries (sheep)
Lineage: Eukaryota; Metazoa; Chordata; Mammalia; Artiodactyla; Bovidae
Rfam family: tRNA
About the family: Transfer RNA (tRNA) molecules are approximately 80 nucleotides in length. Their secondary structure includes four short double-helical elements and three loops (D, anti-codon, and T loops).
Source: Rfam by way of RNAcentral
UCCCUGGUAGCUUAGACGGUAAAGCAUCUGCCUGCGAUGCAGGAGACCUGGGUUUGAUCUCUGGGUCGGGAA